UACGUAGGGUGCGAGCGUUGUCCGGAAUCAUUGGGCGUAAAGAGCGUGUAGGCGGCCCGGUAAGUCCGCUGUGAAAGUCCAGGGCUCAACCCUGGGAUGCCGGUGGAUACUGUCGGGCUCGAGUCCGGAAGAGGAGUGUGGAAUUCCUGGUGUAGCGGUGAAAUGCGCAGAUAUCAGGAGGAACACCAAUGGCGAAGGCAGCACUCUGGGACGUGACUGACGCUGAGACGCGAAAGCGUGGGGAGCAAACAGG
RNAcentral lists this ribosomal RNA (253 nucleotides) under uncultured bacterium. RNAcentral describes it as "partial 16S ribosomal RNA". It matches the Rfam family "Bacterial small subunit ribosomal RNA", at positions 524 to 776 of the family's 1533-position model. The record is from RNAcentral.